Molecule: ribosomal RNA, 502 nt
Filed under: Pachydactylus austeni
Lineage: Eukaryota; Metazoa; Chordata; Lepidosauria; Squamata; Gekkonidae
Description: partial 16S ribosomal RNA
Rfam family: Bacterial large subunit ribosomal RNA
Source: RNAcentral
AUUCAACGGCCGCGGUAUCAUAACCGUGCAAAGGUAGCGCAAUCACUUGUCCCCUAAAUAGGGACCUGUAUGAACGGCCACUUGAGGGUCCAACUGUCUCCUGCGCCUAAUCAAUGAAACUGAUCUCUCAGUACAAAAGCUGAGAUACCCCCACAAGACGAAAAGACCCUGUGGAGCUUUAAGUAUAAGCCUAACCAGGACCCCAUCCCCCCGAGGCACAACCCAACCAUGAUAUAGCCCAAGCUUUAAGUUGGGGCGACUGCGGAGACAAACAAAACCUCCAUUAACCAGGGCUAACCCCCCAUAUGAGGCCCACAAGCCACAUACCCCACACACAGACCCAGUAAAACUGACAAUCGAACCAAGUUACCCCAGGGAUAACAGCGCCAUCCCCCCCAAGAGUCCAUAUCGCCGGUGGGGCUUACGACCUCGAUGUUGGAUCAGGACACCCAGGCGGUGAAGCCGCUGCCAAAGGUUCGUUUGUUCAACGAUUAAUGUCCUA